CUCGACUCGGUGAUUAUAGAUCUCCACGAGACUGCAUUCUGUUUGGAAGAGACUGGGAGUCGAUCUCUCCCAUUACUCUCCUUCCCCAUAUUGAUGAUAGUGACAAUGGUUAUGGGAUGAGCAUUCAUGGAUAUAAAAAUGAACUGAAGGGUAUGGGCGUUGUUGUUGAAUUGAAACAUGGUUUAAAGUUUGUGGUUGCUGGCCUUCGUUUUCCUCAUAAUCCCAGAUGUAUAACUCCUAAGAAUGUGCUUUCACUACUGGAAUGCAUUCGGCUUCUAUUGCAGCAGGGACACUCAUUUGCAGAUGAUUUUCUGCAAAAGGCUUCUAAAAAAUGGAUAAAGACCCAAGCUGGUUACAGAGCUCCAGAUAAAUGUUGCUUGUUUGGUUCCGAGUGGGGUUUAUAUGUGAAGCAGACUGAUGGUCCUUUCAUUGAUGAAGAGUUUUAUGGCUUUGACAUCCAGUCCUACAAAAAAGAGCUUAGUAUAGUCGGAGUUAUUGUUGAUUCAGAAAAGGGAUGCUCAUUGCUCGCCAAUCACCUAGCUUCUCAUUCUGAAUUUCCUGCAAUUGUUCGAAUAUAUGAUUUCUUGAGUGUGUACCAGUGGAAGUCAGAGGAUGAAGCAACUGGCACAAUAUGGGUUCCAUUAGGAAGUCAAGAUGAACUUGCUAAAGGAAAAUGGGCUGAUCCAAGAGAGUGUGUUCUGUAUGACAAAGACAAUAUCUUUGGUUUGCAGUUGAAUGUUCUAGAGAAAUACUACGAUCCGAAAUUACUGAGUUUCUUUUCCAGGGCAUUUGAUGUUAAAUCCAGUCCUUCACUUGAUGAUUACUGCAAGCUUUGGAAGGCUUGGGAAAGGACAAGAAGCAAAUUGACACAUGCUGAAUGCUGUGCAUUCUGGAGGUGGGUCGUGAAGCACAGGAACUCAAAAAUGGGGGACACUCUGGCCGACGAAUUGGUAAAGCUGCCUGUUGUUUCGGGCUCUGGUGAAAUCUUAUUGUUUGACAAGCGUGGUGUUUUUAUAGCUGAUGACCUUCUUCUGAAGGACCUCUUUGAGAAGAUUUCACCCCGCCCAAUUUUUGUCUGGUAUCCUCAGCCAAGCUUGCCUUCUUUGCCCCAGAGUAAAUUGCUUGAUUUGUACAGAGCAAUUGGCGUCCGAACAAUUUCUGAAUCCGUUCAAAUGAAAGAACUCUCUUUAGAAGAUGUGGAACUUAAGCAGGCAAAUCCAAGUGACAUUUUGAUUGGAAAAGGGCUAGUUAGACUAAUUCUUGGCUUUCUAGCGGAUCCUUCUUUUAAUAUGGAAGCGAGGAGGAGGCAUGAAGCUGUGCAGUGCCUCUUCAAUCUCACUGUCUUGGAGACUUUGGAGCCGAUAAAUGUAAGCUAUAGUUUAUCACUCUACUCUGGUGAGAUCGUGAAUGCAGAAGUAAGCCGAAAGCUACGCUGGGAUAGAGAGAGUUCUAAGUUGUUCGCACAGAAGAAAGACCGUGCUGGCGGACAGAAAAGUCUUAUUGAAUAUGCAACAUAUUUCUCUAAGGUAAUAGCCGAGGGAGUGUUAUGGGAGAAAGAAGAUCAAAUAUGCGCACUCUCUGAGCUGAUUAAGUUGGCUUUCCUG
Molecule: unclassified non-coding RNA, 1604 nt
Filed under: Hevea brasiliensis (rubber tree)
Lineage: Eukaryota; Viridiplantae; Streptophyta; Magnoliopsida; Malpighiales; Euphorbiaceae
Source: RNAcentral